Molecule: ribosomal RNA, 253 nt
Filed under: uncultured bacterium
Lineage: Bacteria
Description: partial 16S ribosomal RNA
Rfam family: Bacterial small subunit ribosomal RNA
Source: RNAcentral
GACAGAGGCCUCGAGCGUUAGGCGGAAUCACUGGGCUUAAAGCGUGCGCAGGCGGUUGUGUAAGACAGGAGUGAAAGCCCAAGGCUCAACCUUGGAAGCGCUCUUGAAACUGCAGGACUCGAAUUUGGGAGAGGAUAGCGGAAUUGUCAGUGUAGCAGUGAAAUGCGUAGAUAUUGACAGGAACACCAGUGGCGCAAGCGGCUAUCUGGACCAACAUUGACGCUGAGGCACGAAAGCGUGGGGAUCAAACAGG